UCUUGCUCUUCCAAAAUUAUUUCCUUGGUACAAACCCACUAUUUUGAGGUCCCUAAGUAGCGUGGGAGUGUCGUUGGAGCGAUCAACCCAUUAUUUUUCAUCCAUUGGAAACCCUAGCAUUUUGUGGAAUUGAAGAGGAUAGAUCGUGGGCAGCCCGAAUCAUAGGUUGGAUUUAGCUUGAGUUUGGAUCGUAUUGGAGAGCGUUUGAGGUACGGACGCACAGCCUGGUGAUCCACCUGUUUAGGACACCCUUUCUGCUAUUCGGAGUGCUCCUCUCUUUCCGGAGCUUAUACUUUUGGUAUAUAUAUUUAUUAGUGCAUUUGUAUAUAUUCGUUCAUGGGUACGGCGGG
Lycium barbarum (goji berry) is the source of this 350-nucleotide long non-coding RNA. RefSeq lists it as uncharacterized. Lineage: Eukaryota; Viridiplantae; Streptophyta; Magnoliopsida; Solanales; Solanaceae. The record is from RefSeq and is a predicted model, not a curated record. The transcript has 3 exons.